This 467-nucleotide ribosomal RNA is filed under the name uncultured bacterium. Its description in RNAcentral is "partial 16S ribosomal RNA". It matches the Rfam family "Bacterial small subunit ribosomal RNA", at positions 28 to 506 of the family's 1533-position model. The record is from RNAcentral.
GACGAACGCUGGCGGCGUGCUUAACACAUGCAAGUCGAACGGAAAGGCCCUGCUUUUGUGGGGUGCUCGAGUGGCGAACGGGUGAGUAACACGUGAGUAACCUGCCCUUGACUUUGGGAUAACUUCAGGAAACUGGGGCUAAUACCGGAUAGGAGCUCCUGCUGCAUGGUGGGGGUUGGAAAGUUUCGGCGGUUGGGGAUGGACUCGCGGCUUAUCAGCUUGUUGGUGGGGUAGUGGCUUACCAAGGCUUUGACGGGUAGCCGGCCUGAGAGGGUGACCGGCCACAUUGGGACUGGGAUACGGCCCAGACUCCUACGGGAGGCAGCAGUGGGAAAUAUUGCACAAUGGGCGGAAGCCUGAUGCAGCAACGCCGCGUGCGAGAUGACGGCCUUCGGGUUGUAAACCGCUUUCGCCUGUGACGAAGCGUGAGGGACGGUAAUGGGUAAAGAAGCACCGGCUAACUACGU